Molecule: ribosomal RNA, 532 nt
Filed under: Blastocystis sp.
Lineage: Eukaryota; Bigyra; Opalinata; Blastocystidae
Description: bacterial SSU rRNA
Rfam family: Eukaryotic small subunit ribosomal RNA
Source: RNAcentral
CACUACGAAGCCUUUGGUUUUGUAACUGAAUUGAGAACAAUGUACAAUCGUUAUCGAUAAACAAUUGGAGGGCAAGUCUGGUGCCAGCAGCCGCGGUAAUUCCAGCUCCAAUAGCGUAUAUUAACGUUGUUGCAGUUAAAAAGCUCGUAGUUGAAGUUUAGAUGAUUUGUUGAGAGUGUUAGUAUUCGUACUAUCUGCCCUCAAUAGAUUAUCGACUUCCAGGUAAGCUCAAUAAUCCCUCCGGGGACUAUUGUGCCAGACUGGUCUUUUACUGUGAGAAAAUUAGAGUGUUUAAAGCAGACUUUUUUAGUUUGAAUAGAUUAGCAUGGAAUAAUAAGAUUGGCUUUCAUAGUCGAUUUUUUGGUUUGUUUAUGAAAGCAAGAUUAAUAGGGACAGUUGGGGGUAUUCAUAUUCAAUAGCUAGAGGUGAAAUUCUAUGAUUUAUGGAAGAUGAACUAGUGCGAAAGCAUUUACCAAGGAUGUUUUCAUUAAUCAAGAACGAAAGCUAGGGGAUCAAAGAGGAUUAGAUACCC